Molecule: transfer RNA, 31 nt
Filed under: Karenia brevis
Lineage: Eukaryota; Dinophyceae; Gymnodiniales; Kareniaceae
Description: partial Selenocysteine transfer RNA
Source: RNAcentral
UGUGCUGCGGUCUUCAAAACCAGAGAGGCUG